This 95-nucleotide small nucleolar RNA is filed under the name Hordeum vulgare. RNAcentral's name for it is "Small nucleolar RNA snR60/Z15/Z230/Z193/J17". It matches the Rfam family "Small nucleolar RNA snR60/Z15/Z230/Z193/J17". From Rfam's summary of the family: The members of this family belong to the C/D class of snoRNAs which contain the C (UGAUGA) and D (CUGA) box motifs. Lineage: Eukaryota; Viridiplantae; Streptophyta; Magnoliopsida; Poales; Poaceae. RNAcentral also lists the same sequence under 1 other name. The record is from RNAcentral.
AUCGUCCUGUCGAUGAUUAUUAAGUGCAUAGUUCAGAUGACCAAACUGUGAUUACUUGAACAAAAUAGUCUUUUCGUUCCUAGCUGACGGCCUUU